GGUGGUGCCCGGGCUGCACCAAACGGAAAUCCACGGCUCAUCAUGGCGGCUAGCAAGCCAUCAUGAAGGCGCUCUACUAGCAUACCCCACCAGAUAGCAUCAAGAAUGUCUCCUCUUUCUUUCGUUCACCCCAACUCAUCCAACCUUUUCUUACUUUCCCACCCCUUUCGCUUAGAGGUGUUUAGCAGGGAGAGGCUAAACACAUCGGAUGUUUGACACUAAUUAUGAGUAUUAAACAUAAUCUAAUUACAAAACUAAUUGCACAACCCCUAGGCUAAAUCGCGAGACGAAUCUAUUAAGCCUAAUUAGUUCAUGAUUUGACAAUGUGGUGCUACAGUAACCAUUCGCUAAUGAUGGAUUAAUUAGGCUUAAUAGAUUCGUCUCGCGAUUUAGCCUAGAGGUUCUGCUAUUAAUUUUAUAAUUAGCUCAUAUUUAGUCCUCCUAAUUAGCAUCUGAACGUGUGAUGUGACAGGGCUAAAGUUUAGCCCCUGACAUCCAAACACCCCCUAAUCUAUUGCACAGUACUGAAGAUUAAAGCCCCUGGGCAAGCAGUCUCCCCGCCCAAGUUUCCUCUUAUUCCCCGACCCGGCCUUGCGAAUUUCAGAAACUAGAAAAGCAUAUGCGUCUGCACACC
Molecule: long non-coding RNA, 634 nt
Filed under: Setaria italica (foxtail millet)
Lineage: Eukaryota; Viridiplantae; Streptophyta; Magnoliopsida; Poales; Poaceae
Description: long non-coding RNA (SITA_LNC001938)
Source: RNAcentral